RNAcentral lists this ribosomal RNA (117 nucleotides) under Duganella rivi. RNAcentral's name for it is "partial 16S ribosomal RNA". It matches the Rfam family "Bacterial small subunit ribosomal RNA", at positions 1 to 111 of the family's 1533-position model. The record is from RNAcentral. Lineage: Bacteria; Pseudomonadati; Pseudomonadota; Betaproteobacteria; Burkholderiales; Oxalobacteraceae.
AGAUUAAACUAAAGAGUUUGAUCCUGGCUCAGAUUGAACGCUGGCGGCAUGCCUUACACAUGCAAGUCGAACGGCAGCACGGAGCUUGCUCUGGUGGCGAGUGGCGAACGGGUGAGU